Molecule: long non-coding RNA, 559 nt
Organism: Homo sapiens (human)
Lineage: Eukaryota; Metazoa; Chordata; Mammalia; Primates; Hominidae
Product: long intergenic non-protein coding RNA 1224
Source: Ensembl
AUUUGGCGGGGCUUUUGUCUCUCGCUGCAGCCAGAGCUUGGGAUCGCUUUCUGCUAUUCAACGUCCUCCACCUCUGCCCCCCUCUCGCCCCAGCCGGUGACAGGCUGUUGCCCUGUGAUCUGCAGGUCCUGGGACGUGCACAGACAGCUAAGAUGCCAGGACAUUCCAGAAGGUGGGAAAGGGGAUCGUCACUCCCGUGGAUGAUCAAAGCUACUCCGGGGGCUGAGGCAGGAGAAUCGCUUGAACUCGGGAAGCAGAAGUUGCAGUGAGCCAAGGUCGCACCACUGCACUCCAGCCCAGGCGACAUUGUGAGACUCCAUCUCAAAAAAAAAAAAAAGAAAAAAAGUGUACUAACAAGACCCAGCACACAGAGGAGACUUUUACCAUUGUAUGAACACCCAUCAAACAGUACACAUCAUCAUUGUGAGUUCUGAAUCUCACACAUAGAGGAAGUCAAAGGUGGAAAACUUGACUCUCAUAUUUGGAUCCAGUCCACAGGUGUGAUUUUGACGCACACUUCUGCCCAGCACCUGAGUAAUGUGAUUCUUCAGAAUUGGCC